RNAcentral lists this ribosomal RNA (460 nucleotides) under uncultured bacterium. Its description in RNAcentral is "partial 16S ribosomal RNA". It matches the Rfam family "Bacterial small subunit ribosomal RNA", at positions 338 to 795 of the family's 1533-position model. The record is from RNAcentral.
CCUACGGGAGGCAGCAGUGAGGAAUAUUGGUCAAUGGCCGUAAGGCUGAAGCAGCCAAGCCGCGUGAAGGAAGGAGGAUCUAUGGUUUGUAAACUCCUUUUAUAGGGGAGUAAAGGUAACAACGUGUGGAUAUUUGCAUGUAGACUAUGAAUAAGCAUCGGCCAACUACGUGCCAGCAGCCGCGGUAAUACGGAGGAUGCGAGAGUUAUCCGGAUUUAUUGGGAUUAAAGGGUGCGUAGGUUGUUUUUUAAGUCAGCUGUGAAAGUUUGUGGCUCAACCAUAAAAUUGCCGUUGAUACUGGGAGACUUGAGUGUGUUAGAGGUAAGCGGAAUGCGUGGUGUAGCGGUGAAAUGCAUAGAUAUCACGCAGAACUCCGGUGGCGAAGGCAGCUUCCUGGGCCUUAACUGACACUGAAGCACGAAAGCGUGGGGAGCGAACAGGAUUAGAUACCCUUGUAGUC